Molecule: ribosomal RNA, 580 nt
Filed under: uncultured fungus
Lineage: Eukaryota; Fungi
Description: eukaryotic LSU rRNA
Rfam family: Eukaryotic large subunit ribosomal RNA
Source: RNAcentral
AAACCAACAGGGAUUGCCCUAGUAACGGCGAGUGAAGCGGCAUCAGCUCAAAUUUGAAAUCUGGCUCUUUCAGAGUCCGAGUUGUAAUUUGCAGAGGGCGCUUUGGUGUCGGCAGCGGUCCAAGUUCCUUGGAACAGGACGUCACAGAGGGUGAGAAUCCCGUACGUGGUCGCUGACCUACACCGUGUAAAGCCCCUUCGACGAGUCGAGUUGUUUGGGAAUGCAGCUCUAAAUGGGAGGUAAAUUUCUUCUAAAGCUAAAUACUGGCCAGAGACCGAUAGCGCACAAGUAGAGUGAUCGAAAGAUGAAAAGCACUUUGGAAAGAGAGUCAAACAGCACGUGAAAUUGUUGAAAGGGAAGCGCUUGCAGCCAGACUUGCUUGUAGUUGCUCAUCCGGGCUUUUGCCCGGUGCACUCUUCUGCGAGCAGGCCAGCAUCAGUUUGGACGGUUGGAUAAAGGCCUCUGUCACGUACCUUCUCUCGGGAAGGCCUUAUAGGGGAGGCGUCAUGCAACCAGUCUGGACUGAGGUCCGCGCAUCUGCUAGGAUGCUGGCGUAAUGGCUGUAAGCGGCCCGUCUUGA